Cololabis saira (Pacific saury) is the source of this 167-nucleotide small nuclear RNA. RefSeq annotates it as U1 spliceosomal RNA. The record is from RefSeq and is a predicted model, not a curated record. Lineage: Eukaryota; Metazoa; Chordata; Actinopteri; Beloniformes; Belonidae. The transcript has a single exon.
AUACUUACCUGGCAGGGGAGACACCAUGAUCAGGAAGGUGGUUCACCCAGGGCGAGGCUCAGCCACUUGCACUUCGGCUGUUGUGCUGACCUUUGCGAAUUCCCCAAAUGUGGGAAUCUCGACUGCAUAAUUUCUGGUAGUGGGGACUGCGUUCGCGCUCUCCCCUA